UACGUAGGGUGCGAGCGUUAAUCGGAAUUACUGGGCGUAAAGCGUGCGCAGGCGGUUGUGUAAGCCAGACGUGAAAUCCCAGGGCUUAACCUGGGAAUGGCGUUUGGGACUGCACGGCUGGAGUGUGGCAGAGGGGACUAGAAUUCCUGGUGUAGCAGUGAAAUGCGUAGAUAUCAGGAGGAAUACCGAUGGCGAAAGCGACUCCCUGGCCCACACCUGACGCUCAGGUGCGAAAGCGUGGGUAGCGAAC
This 250-nucleotide ribosomal RNA is filed under the name uncultured bacterium. RNAcentral's name for it is "partial 16S ribosomal RNA". It matches the Rfam family "Bacterial small subunit ribosomal RNA", at positions 524 to 773 of the family's 1533-position model. The record is from RNAcentral.